RNAcentral lists this ribosomal RNA (522 nucleotides) under uncultured Glomeraceae. RNAcentral describes it as "SSU rRNA". It matches the Rfam family "Eukaryotic small subunit ribosomal RNA", at positions 548 to 1075 of the family's 1831-position model. The record is from RNAcentral. Lineage: Eukaryota; Fungi; Glomeromycota; Glomeromycetes; Glomerales; Glomeraceae.
UUGGAGGGCAAGUCUGGUGCCAGCAGCCGCGGUAAUUCCAGCUCCAAUAGCGUAUAUUAAAGUUGUUGCAGUUAAAAAGCUCAUAGUUGAAUUUCGGGAUCAUCAGGUUGGUCGUGCCAUUGGUAUGUACUAGCUUUGGUGGUUCCUACCUCUUGAAGAGCCGUAAUGUCAUUAACUUGGUGUUGCGGGGAAUCAGGACUGUUACUUUGAAAAAUUAGAGUGUUUAAAGCAGGCAAACGCUUGAAUACAUUAGCAUGGAAUAAUGAAAUAGGACGUUUGAUCUUAUUUUGUUGGUUUCUAGGAUCGACGUAAUGAUUAAUAGGGAUAGUUGGGGGCAUUAGUAUUCAAUUGUCGGAGGUGAAAUUCUUGGAUUUAUUGAAGACUAACUACUGCGAAAGCAUUUGCCAAGGAUGUUUUCAUUAAUCAAGAACGAAAGUUAGGGGAUCGAAGACGAUCAGAUACCGUCGUAGUCUUAACCAUAAACUAUGCCGACUAGGGAUCGGAUGAUGUUAAUUUUUAAUG